Molecule: non-coding RNA, 28 nt
Filed under: Homo sapiens (human)
Lineage: Eukaryota; Metazoa; Chordata; Mammalia; Primates; Hominidae
Source: RNAcentral
UGCCAUUGUCAUAAAGCAUGGGGUUGGC